Lupinus albus (white lupine) is the source of this 1046-nucleotide non-coding RNA. The record is from the annotation of a GenBank genome assembly. Lineage: Eukaryota; Viridiplantae; Streptophyta; Magnoliopsida; Fabales; Fabaceae.
CUCAUGACAAUGACAAUAGUUUUGAACGCCUUGAUUUAAUGCAAACAAGCAGAGGCAAAUAAGUAGAGAGGUAACAGUGCUCAUUGCUCUGCUUAAGAAGUUGCUCUUCGGUUAUCUAUAUUCUUCAGUAUAGCAUUAGGGUCAAUGUGCGCCUCUAGAUGAAAUUGUGGUUUUUGUGGCUAUAGUUUCAACAAGCGAUUUUUUGUUUUUCCAGUAGAGGUGAGCCUCGGCGUAACAGUAAGGUGACCUGAAGGUCUAGAGUUCAAAUCAUGGAAACAUAUAUUUCAUUUGUAAGAGUAAGAUUGCGUACAUCUAACCUCCUAGACCCACUAGGUGGGAGCCUCAUGUACUAGACCACUUUUUCUGUUGAAGUCUUUUAAGCUAAAUAGUAAAUACUAAGGAACUUGGCAUUAUCUUUGCUCAUGACUAAGGAACUAGCAUCGUGUCAUUACCAAAAUACAUAGGGACUUGGUUUGCAGUGGACUAUGCUCUUUAAUUUUUCAGUAUAUAGUACCAUUUCUUUUUGGAGGGUGUCUUUUCCAGCAAAACCAUUAAGGGAUAUUGACUAGUAUGAAUGAGAAAACAGAAUAGUUUAAUACUCAAUUAAAGUCAAUUAACUUGUUCUUUUCUUUUGACAGCAGUUCUGAAGUUGGCAUAAUCUUCCAUGCAAUGGAUUCAGUGGAAUCACCACCUACAUUUUAGGACCAACAGUUUCACAAGUCCAUAUCAGGAAAUUGUUGAUGCAUAUGGGUGAGCGUAAUAUUUAUUGCGUUUAGUUGUAGCAACAAGAAUACUUUAAUAUCUUGAAAUGAUGUUUUGGAGUGUCUUGUAGAACAUUAUUUUUCUUCAAAUUACAAAUGUGUGGCAAUAUGCUAUCCCUCUCUGGCUCUAUAAAAUAGAUUGAUAAAAUUCUGGUUAGUGUAAGUAGAAUUGUUACAAAGAAUUUUGACCUAAAUGGUCUAUAGUUGACUCCACAUAGUGGCUAAAGGCUUUGGUUGUUGUGUAUGUCGAAUUGGAGGAAUGUAUGUUCUAUGUCUAUGUUGUAG